AGAGUUUGAUCCUGGCUCAGAGUGAACGCUGGCGGCGUGGAUUAGGCAUGCAAGUCGAGCGAUCCUUGUCAUUGAUGCGGACUGAGGCUUCGGCCAAAGUUCGCUGAAGUGACGCUGGAUAGCGGCAAACCGGUGAGUAACGCGUGGGUAACCUACCUUAAGGAGGAGCAUAGCUUCGCGAAAGCGGAGGUAAUACUUCAUAAUCCCCUGGAUUUGAUGGUUCAGGGGCAAAGACGGCCUCUACUUGUAAGCUGUCACCUUUUGAGGGGCCCGCGUCCUAUUAGGUUGUUGGUGGGGUAAAGGCCUACCAAGCCGAAGAUGGGUAGCUGGCGUAAGAGCGUGACCAGCCACAUCGGGACUGAGACACUGCCCGGACUCCUACGGGAGGCUGCAGUCGAGAAUCUUUCCCAAUGGACGAAAGUCUGAGGAUGCGACGCCGCGUGGGGGAUGAAGGUUUUCGGAUUGUAAACCCCUUUUAUUGAGGAGGAAGGCCCUGGGGUGAAUAAUGCCCAGGGAUUGACUGUACUCAAUGAA
This 534-nucleotide ribosomal RNA is filed under the name uncultured bacterium. RNAcentral describes it as "bacterial SSU rRNA". It matches the Rfam family "Bacterial small subunit ribosomal RNA", at positions 8 to 486 of the family's 1533-position model. The record is from RNAcentral.